Molecule: ribosomal RNA, 839 nt
Filed under: Panorpodes paradoxus
Lineage: Eukaryota; Metazoa; Arthropoda; Insecta; Mecoptera; Panorpodidae
Description: partial 16S rRNA
Source: RNAcentral
GAAGGUGUAUCUAGAAAGACAAAUUAGAGCUUGGAAAGUAAAGCAUUUCAUUUACAUUGAAAAGUAUAUUGUGUAAUUCAAUUUAAUUUGAUAAUAAUAAAAAUUUAUUAAUUUUUUUUGUUUAAAAAUUUAUUUAAUAAAAUUAAUUUUAGAUUGAUUUUUUUUUGUAUAGUAUAUAGGUCAAAUAAUUUAUAUAAUAGUUAAUUAGUAUUGUAAAAGAAUAUUGAAAUAUAUGAAAAAGUUUUAAAUUAAAAGUAAAUUUUAUAUAUUGUACCUUGUGUAUCAGGGUUUAUUAAUUAAAAGUUAAAAAUUAAAUUUUUCUCGAAUUUAAGAGGGUUAAUUUAUUAUUUAAUUUUUUGUUUCAUAAAAAUUUAAAAUAAUAAAUUAGAAAUGAAAUGUUAUUCGUUCUUAAAUAUAUCUAGUUUUUUAAGAAAUAAAUUAAAUUUAGAUUAUUAAUAGAUAAUUAGUUAUUUAAAUAAUAAAUUAUUAUUAAUAGUUAAUAUUUUAGGGGAUAAGCUUUAAAGUAAAUUUUAUAAUAAUUUUUUAAUUUGAAAAUUAUAGAUUUAGAAAUAGUCAUUAAUUGUAAAAAUGUUAUAAUUUAUUUUAAAUUAAAAAUAAUUUUUAUUAAUUUAAGUUUUUAUUAAAAUAAUUUUUAAAAUUAUAUAAGAAUUAAAAUAAUGAUAAAAUUAGUAUAUUUAAUUGUUUUAAAAAUAUUAAUUGAAAGGUUAAAUUAAGGAACUUGGCAAAUAAAUACUCGCCUGUUUAACAAAAACAUGUCUUUUUGAAUAUAAUUUAAAGUCUAAUCUGCCCACUGAAAAAUUUUAAAGGGCCGCGGUAUU